Molecule: ribosomal RNA, 194 nt
Filed under: uncultured bacterium
Lineage: Bacteria
Description: partial 16S ribosomal RNA
Rfam family: Bacterial small subunit ribosomal RNA
Source: RNAcentral
CAACUCGCCUGCAUGAAGUUGGAAUUGCUAGUAAUCGCGAAUCAGAAUGUCGCGGUGAAUACGUUCCCGGGCCUUGUACACACCGCCCGUCACACCAUGAGAGUCGAUAACACCCGAAGCCUGUGAGCUUAACCUUUAGGAGGCAGCAGUCGAAGGUGGGGUUGAUGAUUGGGGUGAAGUCGUAACAAGGUACC